AAGAGAGAAUCUGCAAAGCAGAUAUUGCUAAUUUACAAUGCACAAAAGCAGCCGGACAGAAAGAAGUGGGACCAAGAGAAGAAAAGCAGAUCAAUAUGAUUCAGAUGAUGCUCAGUAUAUAGGAAAAUAUUAGUGUGAUAGUGCCUGUUCCAUUAGUGUAACCAGCAGGAAGUAACGAUGAAUGAGAUACUCCUGACUAAUGACACUGUUAACUUCACAUUCAUUCAUGUUAUGUAAUGAGUGUGUGAACUUUGUCAUCAAUCGAUGACACUUAUUUUAACAAUUGUCAAAAGAAGACACUGCUGGUUCAGGUGGGUGGAGAAACAGGAGUAAAAUGUCUCCUUCAUCAGACUUUUCUGACAAAGGCAAAGUACCACCUGUCACCAUACACAGCUGCUACAAAAGAAAUUAGUCGAGGAUGAGUGGUGAGAUCUAGUGUCUCCUAGACUGCUUUCUCAUUGAGUUAAGUAAACUUCGUUCUGAGCAUAAGUGUCAGCUGCAGCAAUGAGACAUUUUUCUGCUGAGGGACAUCUCAAGGUACUGUACACACAGUACAAGUGAUUGCCAGACACUCAGUGAAUCCGCUGGAGUUGUGAGUAGCCGUCCAGUUCAUAAAUGUCAUCUAGUUCUCAGUUGCCGGCAUACGGAAACUGACAGAAUUAACUGGAAGAGAUGGUAAAUUAACUUUAAUUUGUUGACAGGCACAGCUGUGCAUGACCGUAAAAUUUUUAAUUGAAUGAUAAUUCAUUGUGUUCAUGUAUGAAGUAAGAAUAUGCCUAAAAUACAACAAAACUUUUUG
Molecule: long non-coding RNA, 799 nt
Organism: Schistocerca serialis cubense
Lineage: Eukaryota; Metazoa; Arthropoda; Insecta; Orthoptera; Acrididae
Exons: 4
Source: RefSeq, a predicted model, not a curated record